UUUGUUACUUCAAACCAAUCGGACUUCGGUCUGACAUCAAGUGAUAUUGAACAAUUUAGCUGAUCGCACGGUCUAAGAACCGGCGACAUAUCCUUCAAAUGUCUGCCUUAUCAACUUUCGAUGGUAGAUUAUGCGCCUACCAUGGUUGUAACGGGUAACGGAGACUCAGGGUUUGAUUCCGGAGAGGGAGCCUGAGAAACGGCUACCACAUCCAAGGAAGGCAGCAGGCACGCAAAUUACCCACUCCCGGCACGGGGAGGUAGUGACGAAAAAUAACAAGCUGGUCUCAAUGAGUUCCAGCAUUGUAAUGGGAACAAUUUAAAUCUUUUAUCGAGGAUCUAUUGGAGGGCAAGUCUGGUGCCAGCAGCCGCGGUAAUUCCAGCUCCAAUAGCGUAUAUUAAAGUUGUUGCGGUUAAAAAGCUCGUAGUUGGAUCUAGGAUUAGGGCUACGGUCGUUCAGCUUGGACGUACUGUAUGCCCGACUCCUUUUCUCUAGUAUUCGAUUGUUGCUCUUAAAUGAGUGACUUUAGUUGCUGGAACUUUUACCUUGAAAAAAUUGAGGUGCUCAAAGCAGGUU
RNAcentral lists this ribosomal RNA (576 nucleotides) under uncultured eukaryote. Its description in RNAcentral is "SSU rRNA". It matches the Rfam family "Eukaryotic small subunit ribosomal RNA", at positions 203 to 786 of the family's 1831-position model. The record is from RNAcentral.